This 366-nucleotide ribosomal RNA is filed under the name uncultured bacterium. RNAcentral describes it as "partial 16S ribosomal RNA". It matches the Rfam family "Bacterial small subunit ribosomal RNA", at positions 338 to 696 of the family's 1533-position model. The record is from RNAcentral.
CCUACGGGGGGCAGCAGUGGGGAAUAUUGCGCACUGGGCGAAAGCCUGACGCAGCGACGCCGCGUGAGGGAUGAAGGUCUUCGGAUCGUAAACCUCUGUCAGCAGGGAAGAACGGUCCCUGUUCUAAUCAGCAGUGAAUUGACGGUACCUGCAAAGGAAGCACCGGCUAACUCCGUGCCAGCAGCCGCGUUAAUACGGAGGGUGCGAGCGUUAAUCGGAAUUACUGGGCGUAAAGGGCUCGUAGGCGGUAUGUCAAGUCAAGGGUGAAAUCCCAGCGCUCAACGGUGGAACUGCCUUUGAAACUGGGAAACUGGAGGGUGUGAGAGGGAAGGGGAAAUCCAGGUGUAGGGGUGAAAACCGGAGAUA